AUUAUACAGCGAAACUGCGAAUGGCUCAUUAUAUAAGUUAUCGUUUAUUUGAUAGUACUUUACUACUUGGAUAACCGUGGUAAUUCUAGAGCUAAUACAUGCUAAAAAUCCCGACUUCGGAAGGGAUGUAUUUAUUAGAUUAAAAACCAAUGCCCUUUGGGCUCCUUGGUGAAUCAUGAUAACUUCUCGAAUCGCAUGGCCUUGCGCCGGCGAUGGUUCAUUCAAAUUUCUUCCCUAUCAACUUUCGAUGUUUGGGUAUUGGCCAAACAUGGUCGCAACGGGUAACGGAGGGUUAGGGCUCGACCCCGGAGAAGGAGCCUGAGAAACGGCUACUACAUCCAAGGAAGGCAGCAGGCGCGCAAAUUACCCAAUCCCGACUCGGGGAGGUAGUGACAAUAAAUACUGAUACGAGGCUCUUUUGGGCCUUGUAAUUGGAAUGAGUACAAUUUAAAUCUCUUAACGAGGAACAAUUGGAGGGCAAGUCUGGUGCCAGCAGCCGCGGUAAUUCCAGCUCCAAUAGCGUAUAUUAAAGUUGUUGUGGUUAAAAAGCUCGUAGUUGAACCUUGGGCCUGGCUGGCCGGUCCGCCUCACCGCGUGUACUGGUCCGGCCGGGCCUUUCCCUCUGUGGAACCUCAUGCCCUUCACUGGGUGUGACGGGGAAGCAGGACUUUUACUGUGAAAAAAUUAGAGUGCUCCAAGCAGGCCUAUGCUCGAAUACAUUAGCAUGGAAUAAUGAAAUAGGACGUGCGGUUCUAUUUUGUUGGUUUCUAGGACCGCCGUAAUGAUUAAUAGGGACAGUCGGGGGCAUCAGUAUUCAAUUGUCAGAGGUGAAAUUCUUGGAUUUAUUGAAGACUAACUACUGCGAAAGCAUUUGCCAAGGAUGUUUUCAUUAAUCAGGAACGAAAGUUAGGGGAUCGAAGACGAUCAGAUACCGUCGUAGUCUUAACCAUAAACUAUGCCGACUAGGGAUCGGACGAUGUUAUUUUUUGACUCGUUCGGCACCUUACGAGAAAUCAAAGUGUUUGGGCUCCAGGGGGAGUAUGGUC
RNAcentral lists this ribosomal RNA (1046 nucleotides) under Leptobacillium sp. RNAcentral describes it as "SSU rRNA". It matches the Rfam family "Eukaryotic small subunit ribosomal RNA", at positions 73 to 1130 of the family's 1831-position model. The record is from RNAcentral. Lineage: Eukaryota; Fungi; Ascomycota; Sordariomycetes; Hypocreales; Cordycipitaceae.